CGGGAUGUAGCGCAGUUUGGUAGCGUACACGCCUGGGAGGCGUGGGGUCACAGGUUCAAAUCCUGUCAUCCCGA
This 74-nucleotide transfer RNA is filed under the name Flavobacteriaceae bacterium. RNAcentral's name for it is "tRNA-Pro". It matches the Rfam family "tRNA". From Rfam's summary of the family: Transfer RNA (tRNA) molecules are approximately 80 nucleotides in length. Their secondary structure includes four short double-helical elements and three loops (D, anti-codon, and T loops). Further hydrogen bonds mediate the characteristic L-shaped molecular structure. tRNAs have two regions of fundamental functional importance: the anti-codon, which is responsible for specific mRNA codon recognition, and the 3' end, to which the tRNAs corresponding amino acid is attached (by aminoacyl-tRNA synthetases). tRNAs cope with the degeneracy of the genetic code in two manners: having more than one tRNA (with a specific anti-codon) for a particular amino acid; and 'wobble' base-pairing, i.e. permitting non-standard base-pairing at the 3rd anti-codon position. Lineage: Bacteria; Pseudomonadati; Bacteroidota; Flavobacteriia; Flavobacteriales; Flavobacteriaceae. The record is from RNAcentral.